Molecule: ribosomal RNA, 852 nt
Filed under: uncultured bacterium
Lineage: Bacteria
Description: bacterial SSU rRNA
Rfam family: Bacterial small subunit ribosomal RNA
Source: RNAcentral
UGUCCCAGCAGCCGCGGUAAUACGGAGGAUGCGAGCGUUAUCCGGAUUUAUUGGGUUUAAAGGGUGCGUAGGCGGUCUGAUAAGUCAGUGGUGAAAGUUUUCAGCUUAACUGGAAAAAUGCUGUUGAUACUGUCAGGCUAGAAUAUGGUUGCUGUGAGUGGAAUGUGUGGUGUAGCGGUGAAAUGCUUAGAUAUCACACAGAAUAUCGAUUGCGAAGGCAGCUCACAAAGCCAUUAUUGACGCUGAGGCACGAAAGUGUGGGGAUCAAACAGGAUUAGAUACCCUGGUAGUCCACACUGUAAACGAUGAUAACUAGUUGUUGGCGAUACACAGUCAGUGACCAAGCGAAAGCGAUAAGUUAUCCACCUGGGGAGUACGACCGCAAGGUUGAAACUCAAAGGAAUUGACGGGGGCCCGCACAAGCGGAGGAACAUGUGGUUUAAUUCGAUGAUACGCGAGGAACCUUACCCGGGCUCGAACGGUGCAGGAAUAUGGUAGAGAUAUCAUAGCUAGCAAUAGUCUGUAUCGAGGUGCUGCAUGGUUGUCGUCAGCUCGUGCCGUGAGGUGUCGGCUUAAGUGCCAUAACGAGCGCAACCCUUGUUGUUAGUUGCCAUCAGGUCAAGCUGGGAACUCUAACGAGACUGCCACCGUAAGGUGUGAGGAAGGGGGGGAUGACGUCAAAUCAGCACGGCCCUUACGUCCGGGGCGACACACGUGUUACAAUGGUAGGUACAGAGGGCCGCUAACCAGCGAUGGUGUGCAAAUCUCAAAAACCUAUCUCAGUUCGGAUCGGAGUCUGCAACUCGACUCCGUGAAGUUGGAUUCGCUAGUAAUCGCGCAUCAGCCAUGGCG